This 1401-nucleotide ribosomal RNA is filed under the name Photobacterium toruni. RNAcentral's name for it is "bacterial LSU rRNA". It matches the Rfam family "Bacterial large subunit ribosomal RNA", at positions 1546 to 2925 of the family's 2925-position model. Lineage: Bacteria; Pseudomonadati; Pseudomonadota; Gammaproteobacteria; Vibrionales; Vibrionaceae. The record is from RNAcentral.
CAUCUUAAGGCUGAGAUACGAUGUCGAGCUACUACGGUAGUGAAGUCAUUGAUGCCAUGCUUCCGGGAAAAGCUUCUAAGCUUCAGAUUAUAAGAAAUCGUACCCCAAACCGACACAGGUGAUCAGGUAGAGAAUACCAAGGCGCUUGAGAGAACUCGGGUGAAGGAACUAGGCAAAAUGGUACCGUAACUUCGGGAGAAGGUACGCUCCUAGCGGUGAUGAGACUUGCUCUCUAAGCUGCCGGGAGUCGCAGAUACCAGGUGGCUGCAACUGUUUAUUAAAAACACAGCACUGUGCAAAAUCGAAAGAUGACGUAUACGGUGUGACGCCUGCCCGGUGCCGGAAGGUUAAUUGAUGGGGUUAGACUUCGGUCGAAGCUCUUGAUCGAAGCCCCGGUAAACGGCGGCCGUAACUAUAACGGUCCUAAGGUAGCGAAAUUCCUUGUCGGGUAAGUUCCGACCUGCACGAAUGGCGUAAUGAUGGCCACGCUGUCUCCACCCGAGACUCAGUGAAAUUGAAAUCGCAGUGAAGAUGCUGUGUACCCGCGGCUAGACGGAAAGACCCCGUGAACCUUUACUAUAGCUUGGCACUGAACAUUGACCCUACAUGUGUAGGAUAGGUGGGAGACGUUGAAGCAACCGCGCCAGUGGUUGUGGAGUCAAUCUUGAAAUACCACCCUUGUAUGCUUGAUGUUCUAACGUCGACCCCUUAUCGGGGUUACGGACAGUGCCUGGUGGGUAGUUUGACUGGGGCGGUCUCCUCCCAAAGAGUAACGGAGGAGCACGAAGGUGGGCUAAUCACGGUCGGACAUCGUGAGGUUAGUGCAAUGGCAUAAGCCCGCUUGACUGCGAGAAUGACAAUUCGAGCAGGUGCGAAAGCAGGUCAUAGUGAUCCGGUGGUUCUGAAUGGAAGGGCCAUCGCUCAACGGAUAAAAGGUACUCCGGGGAUAACAGGCUGAUACCGCCCAAGAGUUCAUAUCGACGGCGGUGUUUGGCACCUCGAUGUCGGCUCAUCACAUCCUGGGGCUGAAGUCGGUCCCAAGGGUAUGGCUGUUCGCCAUUUAAAGUGGUACGCGAGCUGGGUUUAGAACGUCGUGAGACAGUUCGGUCCCUAUCUGCCGUGGGCGUUGGAUGAUUGAGAGGGGCUGCUCCUAGUACGAGAGGACCGGAGUGGACGAACCGCUGGUGUUCGGGUUGUAUCGCCAGAUGCAUUGCCCGGUAGCUAAGUUCGGAAUCGAUAACCGCUGAAAGCAUCUAAGCGGGAAGCGAGCCUCAAGAUGAGUCAUCCCUAGACCUUUAAGGUCUCUAAAGGGUUGUUGAAGACUACAACGUUGAUAGGUCAGGUGUGUAAGUGCUGCGAGGCAUUGAGCUAACUGAUACUAAUUGCCCGUGAGGCUUAACC